AGUGAACGCUGGCGGUAGGCCUAACACAUGCAAGUCGAACGGCGGCACAGUAAGAGCUUGCUCUUACGGGUGGCGAGUGGCGGACGGGUGAGGAAUACAUCGGAAUCUACUUUUUCGUGGGGGAUAACGUAGGGAAACUUACGCUAAUACCGCAUACGACCUACGGGUGAAAGCAGGGGAUCUUCGGACCUUGCGCGAUUGAAUGAGCCGAUGUCGGAUUAGCUAGUUGGCGGGGUAAAGGCCCACCAAGGCGACGAUCCGUAGCUGGUCUGAGAGGAUGAUCAGCCACACUGGAACUGAGACACGGUCCAGACUCCUACGGGAGGCAGCAGUGGGGAAUAUUGGACAAUGGGCGCAAGCCUGAUCCAGCCAUACCGCGUGGGUGAAGAAGGCCUUCGGGUUGUAAAGCCCUUUUGUUGGGGAAGAAAAGCAGCAGGUUAAUACCCCGCUGUUCUGACGGUACCCAAAGAAUAAGCACCGGCUAACUUCGUG
RNAcentral lists this ribosomal RNA (492 nucleotides) under uncultured bacterium. RNAcentral's name for it is "partial 16S ribosomal RNA". It matches the Rfam family "Bacterial small subunit ribosomal RNA", at positions 29 to 507 of the family's 1533-position model. The record is from RNAcentral.